UACAGAGACUGCAAGCGUUAUUCGGAUUCACUGGGCGUAAAGGGUGCGCAGGCGGCCAAGUGUGUGAGGCGUGAAAGCCCGGGGCUUAACUCCGGAAUUGCACCUCAAACUACAUGGCUAGAGCAUUGGAGAGGGUAGCAGAAUUCACGGUGUAGCAGUGAAAUGCGUAGAUAUCGUGAGGAAUACCAGAGGCGAAGGCGGCUACCUGGACAAUUGCUGACGCUCGGGCACGAAAGCGUGGGGAGCAAAAGGG
This 253-nucleotide ribosomal RNA is filed under the name uncultured bacterium. RNAcentral's name for it is "partial 16S ribosomal RNA". It matches the Rfam family "Bacterial small subunit ribosomal RNA", at positions 524 to 776 of the family's 1533-position model. The record is from RNAcentral.